Molecule: long non-coding RNA, 1024 nt
Organism: Alexandromys fortis (reed vole)
Lineage: Eukaryota; Metazoa; Chordata; Mammalia; Rodentia; Cricetidae
Exons: 4
Source: RefSeq, a predicted model, not a curated record
AUUAUCUAAUGCAAAUCCAUUCUAAGAAGGUUGUGGGGGCCAUCUGGUGUCCAAUGUAGACAGGACCUGCUGCCGAGAGGUGAACGGAGAGGACAAGGGACAGGCCGAGGGGAAUAAUGAUCUACUUCGGAGGAAGACUGCAGUGAGCCGAAAGGCCGAGUCCAUCCGUUAUCACUGCUCCCGGCACACACAUAUGGAAUCGCAAGCAAACACAUGCUGCAGAAAGCGGCCUCAGUGCCCUGAUAAAAAAGGACGCUUCCUAGAACCCGAGUUCUUUAUUUGGCACAUGAAGACAGAGGAAACACCAACCACCUGAAUGAGGAAAUGAGCUCUCUCCAGCAGCUGCCUGUGUUUGGGCUCAAAACACAGAUUCUGAUUACCAUUGUCUUGCUAGAACCUGGAUGGCAGUUUUUCUGUCUGUUACAGCCACCGUCUUCAUAAAUCAGGGAAAUUCAUUUAGACUUCAAGCUCAGAGAUGUGCGUGGGGCCCAGCGUAUGGAGGCAUACCGUCCAGUAGGUCAGGAACUCUCUGACUGUUCCUCUGAAUACAGAGGUCUUUCAUACUGCCCAGGGAGACACAGGACUCGCAUGAGAGGUUGCAUUUUGGGAGGGAGACAUGGCACUCCCUUGUCUGACAAUCCUUGGAAAUCACUAUGGAAUGUGUGUAAUUUGCCUUCACAGUUCUCUCAUCACCCCACCCCCGUGACUGCAUUCAUGCAAGCAUGCAUUCAAUCAAUCAGGCAAUAUUCAUAUGUUUAUUUUGCUUCUGUCUUAACUUGGGUUUCCUCAAUCAGCAGGUGUGGUUUGAAAGAAAAUGGCCCCCAAAGGAAAUGGCACUAUUAGGAAGUGUGGCCUUGUUGGAAAAAGUGUGUCACUGUUCGGGGUGGGCUUUGAGGUCUCCUAUGCUCAAGCUACUCCCGGUGUCACAGUCCACUUCCUGUGGCCUGCGUAUCAACAUGUAGCAGCUACCUCUCCAGCACUAUGUCUGCCUGCAUACUGCCAUGUCCCACCAUGAUGGUAAUGG